RNAcentral lists this long non-coding RNA (1078 nucleotides) under Salmo salar (Atlantic salmon). RNAcentral describes it as "lncRNA (ENSSSAG00000098111.1)". The record is from RNAcentral. Lineage: Eukaryota; Metazoa; Chordata; Actinopteri; Salmoniformes; Salmonidae.
AUUUUCAUAAAUAAACUGCAAAAAAAGAAACUUCCUCUCACUGUCAACUGCGUUUAUUUUCAGCAAACUAAUUAACAUGUGUAAAUAUUUGUAUGAACAUAACAAGAUUCAACAACUGAGACGUAAACUGAACAAGUUCAACAGACGUGAUGAACAGAAAUGGAAUAAUGUGUCCCUGAACAAAGCAGGGGUCAAAAUCAAAAGUAAGUCAAUAUCUGGUGUGGCCACCAGCUGCGUUAAGUACUGCAGUGCAUCUCCUCCUCAUGGACUGCACCAGAUUUGCCAGUUCUUGCUGUGAGAUGUUACCCCACUCUUCCACCAAGGCACCUGCGGGUUCGUGGACAUUUCUGGGGGGAUUGGCCCUAGCCCUCACCCUCCAAUCCAACAGGUCCCAGACGUGCUCAAUGGGAUUGAGAUCCGAGCUCUUCGCUGGCCGCGCACAGAAUGAGCGGUAUGGCUGGUGGCAUUGUCAUGCUGGAGGGUCAUGUCAGGAUGAGCCUGCAGGAAGGGUACCACAUGAGGGAGGAGGAUGUCUUCCCUGUAACGCACAGCAUUGAGAUUGCCUGCAAUGACAACAAGCUCAGUCCGAUGAUGCUGUGACACACCGCCCCAGACCAUGACAGACCCUCCACCUCCAAAUCGAUCCCGCUCCAGAGUACAGGCCUCGGUGUAACGCUCAUUCCUUCGACGAUAAACGCGAAUCCAACCAUCACCCCUGGUGAGACAAAACCGCGACUCAUCAGUGAAGAGCACUUUUUCCAGUCCUGUCUGGUCCAGCGACCAGUUGGGCCCAUAGGUGACGUUGUUGCCGGUGAUGUUUGGUGAGGACCUGCUUUACAAUAGGCCUACAAGCCCUCAGUCCAGCCUCUCUCAGCCUAUUGCGGACAGUCUGAGCACUGAUGGAGCAUCUCCUCGGCUUCCCAGCAUACACGCACUUGGUCACAGCUCGCCCUUUUGGAGCAUACUUUGGCGUUUCCAUGGGAACAGUACAAUGUGAAAAUGCCAUGCUGAGAAGUGAGAACUUACCUCACCAACGACGCCAUAUGAUGUCUUUAGAACACACCACCCUGAUUCCUCG